GUUGUUGUCAUAACGAUAUACAUAAGACAAAUUGUAGAUGUAUUUUGUUUUCAUCGUGAUCUAAGUUAAAUAUUCUCAGUAAGAAGAAAAUAAACAACAAACAAAAAUCUUAUCCGGGUCACAAACUAAAACCGAGGAAACCACAUCAAUUAUAAGAGGAAAGCAACGGAUCAAUAAAACACUGAACUUCUACAAAAACAAACGCCAACA
This 210-nucleotide long non-coding RNA is filed under the name Mytilus galloprovincialis (Mediterranean mussel). Lineage: Eukaryota; Metazoa; Mollusca; Bivalvia; Mytilida; Mytilidae. The record is from RNAcentral.